GGGUCCGAUCAAACCAGCACAAACGCACCGAAUCCGAUGAGAACUUCGAAGUUAAGCGUGCUUGGGCGAGAGUAGUACGGUGAUGGGUGACCUCCUGGGAAGUCCUCGUGUUGCAUCCC
Ribosomal RNA from Nymphaea colorata (pocket water lily), 119 nucleotides. The record is from RefSeq and is a predicted model, not a curated record. NCBI's taxonomy places the organism in Eukaryota, Viridiplantae, Streptophyta, Magnoliopsida, Nymphaeales, Nymphaeaceae.